AUUUAUAAAAUCUUUAUGUGUGUGGCAGGCUUAAAGCCUGCCACACACAUAAAGAUUUUAUAAAUCUCAACCGAUUUUUUAUCUGUGAGAGACCCCACACAUAAACAUUACAUUAACAGUUUUGAUCGUAUUGUGUGUGGUGUCCUGCGAUAUUCCAAACACAGCACACCACACACAUAAAGAUUUGUCUUCAGACGCACUAGAAUCUUGUCCCUCAAGCAAGAAAUCUCGCGUGAACAAACGUGAUCUGACGUAGUACUCUGACUGACCUGUGGGGGCAGUCACACCAAAAACAGUCAUUGAACUAACUACAAGAAGAAGUGAAGAAGAGCGAGUGUAAACCGGUGUAAACUCAUGGAGGACCAGCUGGAUACCGACUGCAUGAUGGUGGUUUUGGGAUUAAUCCUAACUGAAAAAUCCCUUAACUUCAACACAACUCACCACGAACUACAAUGAUCCGACAAGGAACAAAGGAAAGACAAGGGCUUGAAUACCAAACACACACAGGGCACGCAACGAGUAACAGCUGAAACACAUUAGCGGAGGGAGCAGUAAUCACACAGGAGGGAAACUUGACCGGACAUGGGGAGAAACAAGACAGAGAUACCAAAGUAAAACAGGACCGGCCCGGCCCAGCCAUGUCACACAGCCGAAGGCCGAGGUCCGUUCCUUCCCUCUCGGUCGUGUGGGCUGUCAACUUAACCUGAAAGUUCAAUAAAACUUUGGCCCAGGCCAUAACUCAUUAUGAUUGGUUCUGGGCUGGCCCUGGCCCUAUCACACACACGGCAGAGGGCCGAGGUCCCGCCCCUUGGGCCUCGGCUGUCAAUCAGUCACGUCACUAACUGACAGAAAAAUGGAGAAGAAACGUAAAGGAGGCGUGGAGAAUAGUGUCAGUGAGGAAAGUAACCAAUCAGAGCGGAGGAAGAGGGCAACUCCCCACUCUUAAAGACUCUUUGUCAAGAGAGUUCAAACCCCCACAGAUGUCUGAAAGUGGUGUGCCCCAUCCUUAAAACAAGGCUAUGUCUCGCAUCACAUACGGAGCCUCUCUCUCUUUAACCGUUCUUUGACGCUCCAAACCCCGUCCCUCCUGUUCCUUCCUUUGCCCUGUGAUGAUACAGAGCCGGUUCUUAAGGUGCCCCCUGUGAGGACAACGCAGUGUCUGGGGGGGGUGACGGAGGCAGUGCGGCCACCUGGGGCCCGAGCGGAUCAGAGGAAAAGGGCUACUCUGCGGUUGGCCUUGAUGGGGAGAUAUUUUAACCCUUUUUAACCCCAUUUUCCUGCGACAUUCCUGCGUCUCCCCCUGCGUCACAGCCCGCUUCAGCACCAUGUCAGUGGACAGGUACAAUCCUAGAAAAGGAUGAAUAAUUCAUCAGGGGAAUGAACGAUCCCAGACUGUCUCAGGUCGUCUCAUAUUUAAAUGGUCCUUUUGUUUAAAGUUUCCUAACCACUUGCAGGCGAGAAUCCCCUUAAAUCAGAGGAAGGGAGGAUUCAGAGACAGGACAGACUGUUAAGACUGUGUUUGGUAUUUUGAAUUCAUAAGCCUAUUGUGAUAAUUAUCAAUAGUGUUUAAUUCCCCAUAAUUAUCAGUAGGCCUACAAGUAGUCAAUUUGUUACAUACAGCUCCUUUAAGCGGAAAUAACAAUGAUGUAUAGCUAAAAAUUAUGCUCAAUAAAUUACACUGUAACAAUAUACACCAUAUAUAUGUUUACUUCUAAUCCAUGUUGCUAGUUACAGCACUCAAGCAAUACCUUUGACAGAUGUACACACGCAUCUAUAGGCUGUUCAAUAUUAACUUAAUGUUCAAUAUUUUUUUCCUUUCUGCGAUCAAUCGAUUCUAAAUAAAAAUUGAAUCAUGCAUUUACAUUGCAUAAUGACCUAAAAAUAACAUUGGUUUGAUUCCGUCCAUUCAUUCUGUGAUCCAAUAACGCACCCAUCGUAUCCACUUACUGCUGAGUGUGUG
Molecule: long non-coding RNA, 1960 nt
Filed under: Gadus morhua (Atlantic cod)
Lineage: Eukaryota; Metazoa; Chordata; Actinopteri; Gadiformes; Gadidae
Description: lncRNA (ENSGMOG00000026499.1)
Source: RNAcentral